GACGAACGCUGGCGGCGUGCCUAAUACAUGCAAGUAGAACGCUGAAGAGAGGAGCUUGCUCUUCUUGGAUGAGUUGCGAACGGGUGAGUAACGCGUAGGUAACCUGCCUUGUAGCGGGGGAUAACUAUUGGAAACGAUAGCUAAUACCGCAUAACAAUGGAUGACCCAUGUCAUUUAUUUGAAUGGGGCAAAUGCUCCACUACAAGAUGGACCUGCGUUGUAUUAGCUAGUAGGUGAGGUAACGGCUCACCUAGGCGACGAUACAUAGCCGACCUGAGAGGGUGAUCGGCCACACUGGGACUGAGACACGGCCCAGACUCCUACGGGAGGCAGCAGUAGGGAAUCUUCGGCAAUGGGGGCAACCCUGACCGAGCAACGCCGCGUGAGUGAAGAAGGUUUUCGGAUCGUAAAGCUCUGUUGUAAGUCAAGAACGAGUGUGAGAGUGGAAAGUUCACACUGUGACGGUAGCUUACCAGAAAGGGACGGCUAACUACGUG
RNAcentral lists this ribosomal RNA (497 nucleotides) under uncultured bacterium. RNAcentral's name for it is "partial 16S ribosomal RNA". It matches the Rfam family "Bacterial small subunit ribosomal RNA", at positions 28 to 507 of the family's 1533-position model. The record is from RNAcentral.